CCUACGGGAGGCAGCAGUGAGGAAUAUUGGUCAAUGGACGAGAGUCUGAACCAGCCAAGUAGCGUGAAGGAUGACUGCCCUAUGGGUUGUAAACUUCUUUUAUAAAGGAAUAAAACGAGGCACGUGUGCCUUUUUGCAUGUACUUUAUGAAUAAGGAUCGGCUAACUCCGUCCCAGCAGCCGCGGUAAUACGGAGGAUCCGAGCGUUAUCCGGAUUUAUUGGGUUUAAAGGGAGCGUAGAUGGGUUGUUAAGUCAGUUGUGAAAGUUUGCGGCUCAACCGUAAAAUUGCAAUUGAUACUGGCAGUCGUGAGUACAGUUGAGGUAGGCGGAAUUCGUGGUGUAGCGGUGAAAUGCUUAGAUAUCACGAAGAACCCCGAUUGCGAAGGCAGCUUACUAAACUGUGACUGACAUUGAUGCUCGAAAGUGUGGGUAUCAAACAGGAUUAGAUACCCGGGUAGUC
This 460-nucleotide ribosomal RNA is filed under the name uncultured bacterium. RNAcentral's name for it is "partial 16S ribosomal RNA". It matches the Rfam family "Bacterial small subunit ribosomal RNA", at positions 338 to 795 of the family's 1533-position model. The record is from RNAcentral.